UUGCGUUUGCAGACCAUACGCGGCGUGAGUGGGGUCUGCAUCCGCAUCAGUGUCACAUAUCCUGUAAGCUUUCUCUCUCUAGUCCAGGAAAUCCCUUGUCGCCUGGUUGGGUGUUGGUGAGAGUGCGCGCCGAUCAAACGUAUCGCCAAGCUCCUGAGAGGGUGGAGGGGUGCGUAACGCGCAGUUCUCCGCGCAAUGUCGUCGUCUCCUCAAACGCCUUUCCAUAUAGGUGCGGUGGUGGCAGCGUCACAUGGGAGCGUUGGCUCGUCGCCGGCAGAUGGGUCGUUUUCCGACCUCACCGCCGCAGACACCUACGGUAACUUGAAACCUCCCCCGGCGCUCUUGUUGCCUGUACGCAUCGAAGCGAACCCGAGCCACCGCGCCAAGGACAACCCCGCCGCAGGCGUGAUGGCGACGGCUGCUGCUGCGUCGUCGUCGUGCCCAUCUCAGACGGCGGCGCAGGCUACAUUGAGCAUCACGGCGGCCGGCAGCUCCAACGAGCACAGCACCGGCAAAUCGCUGGUGUCCGUACUGGACGAGGAGCAGCGCCGCUGCGUGAAUGCGGCAUACCACAUUAGUUUUCACGGAGACACGCGCGUGAAGCUGAAGCCGACAGCGGUGGCGCUGCCUAACGGGGCGCACUUCCUCAUUGUUGACCGCUUCGUCAGCGGCAAUUGCGACGGCGUCUACGAGAAGAACAAGAAGAUGUGGGAGCAUAUCCCCAUAGGACAGGCUCGCGUGUUUGCCCGUACGCCUGCAGCAGCGCCGACCAUCUCGGUGGCCGAGCUGGCCGAGUCGGCACAGGUGAAAUACGAAGGCAGCGGCGCAGGCAACGCGACGACGGCGUCGGUGAAGUGCCCCCGAAGGCCCGGCUCGCCCACCAGCAUCGCUGCGAGCUCUCCACCUCGAUCGCCUCCAUUCGCACCAUUGCCGACGACGAGCGCACUCGGUUCGAGCGUCCAGCCGAAUGGAUGGGAGUAUUCUUCGCCACAGCAGCAUUCCUUUCACAGUGAGUGGACGCGGGUGGCGACUGCCGUCGGACUUCGCAAGAUGGGCCACUGGCGCGAGGCGACGAGUGUCUUUUCGAUCCACAAGGAGGUGUCAAAGAGAGCGACUGCUCUCGAGAAGGUGGACGGCGAGCCCGGCCGCAUCGCUGCCUUUUCGUGGAUGGGGGAGCGCUACUGGAUCAUUGGGUGUCGCUACCAGCACAUUGUGGCACGGCUCAACGUGCCGGAGGCGGACCUGAUGCGAUACGUGGCCUCCAGCAGCAGCUCGACUUCCGCAUCGUCAUCGUCAUCUGUCUCUGACGACGCCGCCGUGUCGGCGAAGGUGCCUUCCGCAGGGAAGCCGUCUUCGUCGUCCCGCAUGAACUCGCCGACACAAAUCCCCCAGGACUACGUUGAGCGAGGCAGCGCGCAUAGCUACACCGUCGCAGGCGGCGCCGCUGCGCUGGCCGGCGCUGGGGCAUCGUCGGAUGCCGCGUACCUGGACCUGGCUGUUCGCAUGGCGCGUCUCUGGCGACGCGUUUUGGAGUCGCUGCGCAUCACUGCAGAGGACGCAGCAAACGCACUCGAUACGGCAUCCGCUAGUGACGCCGCUGUCGCCCCCGCCCACGCGGAAGCGCUAGUCGAGUUGCACGCGUGUGUGGCGGCCGACAACCGCAGCCUAUGCUUUGAUGCCAUCAUGUCUGGCUGGGAGCGUUUGCAGAGCUUCUUCGUUACCCGUGACGUCGCGGGUGACGAGUCCAUGUCGGCCGCCUCCACGUCCGUGUCCUGCACGUCUAUCCGCACUUAUCGCACCAGCUCCACUGCCUUCAUGAUGGCAUCGACACCCGUGGCAGACGGCAGCGGCGCCACCCGCUCCACGGUUGCGGCGGCGCCGGUUGCCAUUCCCCUGUGGUUCUACGCCAUCACGUGGGACGCCUCGCUCGACGAGCGCGGGUGGUGCAUGGGCGUCGAGGAAGCGUUUGCCUUCUUUGGGCGCUUCCGGCUGCCGACGGUGACGAAGUCGGCUGAGGUCCAGGUUGGCUCACCCGAGUACGAGGCGCUGCGUCAGUCGGUGCUCUCGCGCUGCGAUACAGCGGGCGCUGUCAUGUACGGGUCUAACAGAGACGAGGCAGCGGGCGCCAAAGCGGCCGUGGUGGUGCAGGUGUGGAAGUGCCGCGCGUACCCGCACUCCCUCGAGCGAGUCGUGCAGGAGUACGUCGUCACCCAUCGUCUCUGUGGCGAGCCGCUGCGGUGCAAGGUGAAAAAGAAGGUGAGCAACCUCUCCCGCGAAACCCGGCUGUGCAUCAAGCAGUGGGAGCUGCAUCGACUCCCCUUCCUGCUCGACUUCGCGCUGUGGCUGCACCGGGAAAAGUACAUCACCCCGUCGACUGACCUCGUCACGCUCAAGGCCAUACGGGGCCACUGGCUGUCAUACCAAGAGCGGUUCCAGAAGAUGCUGGAUGCGCAGCUGCGGCUACGGCAUCGCGGCUCUAGUCGCCAGGGGACGACCGCGUUUGCGCCGGAGGCGGUGUGCAGCAACCGUGGAGCCCGCGCCGACACUGCCGACGGCACGGGUUGCAGCGCGAGGUCUGACGACGAAGAUACAGAAGUGCAGAAUGCCGAUCGCGAUCUUCUGCAGCACAAGCAGCAGGACGAGGCGCCGUCGCAAGACGCGGAGAGUCUCGACCCCAUCAUGCUGGUCGGUCCACAAGGCUGCGGCAAGUCCACUAUGGCUCGCAUCUUGUACGCUCUCUUGGAGGAGGCAGGCGCGGCACCGCGCUGGCUCAACCAGGACGAGGUUGGAAACCGGUCCGCGUACCUGGCCGCGAUACGGCGCGCCGUGACGCAGGGCAGCUACAGCCAUCUGUUGCUUGACAAGAUGCACCUGGACGACAAGUCGCGUUCCGACUACGCCGCCGCGGGCCUUAAACCAGUUCUUGUCGUUGCCUGGACACACAGUGAAGGUGUGGAGGCGAUGGUGGAGGCGUGCUACGAGAGGGUGGUGAAACGCGGCGUGCGCCAUCGCACCUUCUGCACCGAGGAUGUGACGCCGCUGCGCCCCUUGCCGUCGUCCACAUCCUCGCGCUCGCCGGAGCUGGGCCCGGCGGUCUUGCCGCUGCUGCAGAGCGGCGUCACCUCCCUCAGUGGAAGCGCCGACACCACAGCGGCGCCGUCAGUCAGCGCGUCCUUCUCCAUGGCCAGCAUGGGCCACUAUGGAUGUUCGCCCAACUUGCCAUUCCUCACUGAGCGUCAGUCGCCGCCACCAUCGUCGCGGCUGCACGGCAUUGUACAGGCUAGUGCGAAACGGUAUCAGGUGCCGGCCAACGUACCGUUGGUCGAGCUCGACGUGACGUGGAGCUGCGAAAAGAUGGUGGCGGCCGUGUGGAGGGCACUCCGAGACAGGGGCACGUGCGUCCUGCCGCCACUGGCCGAGCUAAACGUGAUGGCCGCUAUACACACCGCCUAUGCGUACGAACAGCUGCUGGAGGCGUAUCCGUCCCGCGUGGUGAGCGCGGUUCUGCGAGGCCCUGCGAGCGGCGUCGUGCUACAGCAGCUGAGUCUUGUCCACACCCCACUCAUCAUUCCCAAGACGCAACGGCUACAGCCGCAUAUUGAGAUACUCCUUCACAAUUUCUGCCUGCAUCCGAGUCCGACGGCAUUGGUGCGGUACGCUGGUCAGGUGGGGCGCACACGUCGCAUGACCGUGCAGGCGGUGGUGUCAAACUCGAAGGUGGCGCUGCUUUUGAUCCUGGGGCCCACCGAAACCGCCGCCGCGGACUCGGCCGCGCGCACUGCAACGCUUUUGGACAGCGAGGCGGCGGUGGUGCCUCUGCAUGCGGGCGCGACGCAGCCGGCUCUGUAUGCUGCGUCUUUACUGAACAAUGACAGCGGAGAGGCGGUGACAAUUGGGGAAGGUGCCACGGGCGUCUCUGCCGCCUCAUCAGCAGACGAUCCGAGCUGCACCGAGACACACCCCAUGCAGGAACAUUUUGCGGUCCUUGCAAAAGCCAAGGUUACCCCCGACUACUGCGAAGAGCUCGCGCAGCGCGUGCGCGAUGACCCUGACGGGGAUCCGUACUGCGCGGUGCGGUGGUUGUCACCACCGCUCGAAAUGGACUUUGCCGUCACGCUCCUCUUGCCGUAGGGAGAAAGAUGCGCUUGUGGGAUGGAGCGGUGAAGGGGUGGGUGGGUGGAGAGCAUGCGAGUGCGUCGACGCGAUGCAUGGAGCAGGCUGAUGUGGAUGAGUCGCUAACUCCGCAAUCCCGCCCUCGCUGCGUUUUCUCCUCAGUCGAUGCGCCUGUACGUGUGUCCAUGGAAGGAGACGCGUUGUUGCGGGAGUGGGGUGGAAGGGAGGGAGAUCUGAAAUGGUACGCGCAAGCAUACUCGCAUGCUUGUUUCCUCCCACUGCCAACGUUAUAGCAACUGCCGUCACCCCGACGCCGCCCACUCCCGCCUCGAUGCCCUCUCCUGACCCCCCCCCACCCCCACCCUUUGCCUGUACACGUGCCUCGGUCAGUGAAUAUAGGGCUGCCAACAUUGUUUCGCUAAGCUUAGCAUCGAGGACAUCAGCUUUUCAAAUUACUUCAUGCGCCCAUUUCUCUGUCGUAGAACACCAUGAGUUCAGCUUCCCUUCCACUCUGCUCUGCGGCCCUGCCGCAGGCCCCACACCGCGUGGUGCGAAGCAGCCGUCGACACAAGCGUUGCAGCAGUGCGCCGGCCCAGCCAACUGAGAGCAUGAGCUCCUCAUCAAACUCUACCCACCAAAACACCGCGUUGCAGCCGCUCCUUCCAUCAUGCCGGUCUCCACCCCUGGUACAUCCCCCUCGGGGUGACACGCAGGCUCCCCUCCACACCAGCAAGCCGUGUGAGGGCCGGGAGGGGGAUACGCUGGAGUCACGCGGACACUCUGCCUAUCACAUGGAUGGCACAAGCGUGCUCUCUGCCGCGUGCCGCUCUCCGACGCAGCCCCAUCCGGGACCUCACCGCCGACAUCAGCAGCGAUGGCUCCCACGGACCUCGCAAUGUCGUAGGCGCGCGACCCUCUGACCAACAGAGAUGUGGUUCAGCAUGAGCCGGGAAUAGGGUGGCCGCCUGGAAUCUCCCCACCGAGAGCAGGCGCACUGGUCCUUGAAGCCAUGCACUGAGAGGUGUCCUGCGUCAUCAAGGAGGGCGAGGCCAGCAGCAUAAGGGGCCACGCAGGCACUUCUGCGGCUUCUCUUUUUCGU
This 5212-nucleotide unclassified non-coding RNA is filed under the name Leishmania donovani. RNAcentral's name for it is "gene:LdHU3.23.0520(CDS-product:hypothetical_prote in_conserved)". Lineage: Eukaryota; Euglenozoa; Kinetoplastea; Trypanosomatida; Trypanosomatidae. The record is from RNAcentral.